RNAcentral lists this unclassified non-coding RNA (379 nucleotides) under uncultured Oligoflexales bacterium. RNAcentral's name for it is "contains 16S-23S intergenic spacer region". The record is from RNAcentral. Lineage: Bacteria; Pseudomonadati; Bdellovibrionota; Oligoflexia; Oligoflexales.
UCCGUGUUAACCACGGCAGUCUCCUUAGAGUGCCCAACUUAAUGCUGGCAACUAAGAACAAGGGUUGCGCUCGUUGCGGGACUUAACCCAACAUGUCACCACACGAGCUGACGACAGCCAUGCAGCACCUGUCACUCUGUAGUAUUGCUACUAAGGCCCUAUCUCUAGGGUUGUCAGAGGAUGUCAAAUCCAGGUAAGGUUCUUCGCGUUGCUUCGAAUUAAACCACAUGAUCCACUGCUUGUGCGGGCCCCCGUCAAUUCCUUUGAGUUUUAGUCUUGCGACCGUACUUCCCAGGCGGAGUACUUAAUGCGUUAGCGCCGGUUCAGCGGGGGUCAAGACCCACCAAACCUAGUACUCAUCGUUUACAGCGUGGACUAC